UUGACGCCUAAGACCUUCAUGGUGUACAUCGCCACUCAUCAAAUCAACACACAGCAAUAAUCAAGAGCAGUACAGGAUGUCAGCCGAGCCAAGCUCAAUUUUUCAAAGCAAGAAAAUUGAAUUGCUACCACUCCCUCCAAAAAGCCCACAAUAGGCCUGAUCCAAUCAAAGAAAGGGAAUAAGAGAAUGGGCUUGCCCAUUCACCAGUCCGGCGGCCGGCCAUGGACCUCCACCAUUGCCAUGGUCAAGUCUGGACCACGACCUGGAGCAACACCACACAAGCCACCGCCCCCAAGCCUAGAUCAUUGCCAAAGACGGACUAGAUCAUCAAAGUCUGGACCACGACCUGGAACAGCCGCCGACAACAAGCCUUCAGUCGCCGCCAACAGAAAAGAUCAAACCAGUGCAGCAGCUGUCGAAUCCAAUUACCGGCGAAGCCCGAACACCCUCAACCACCACCGCCUUUUGCCGCAGCGAUUGAAGCCUCUCCGACGUACCUGGAUCAAUCAUCGACGCCCGCGUAAGAACUGCACAACGUCGAGCCUCUCCAUCGCCGCCGCCAGCACACGAAACCCUUUGGUUACACCUAAACGAGGUCGCUCCGAAUUUCCCGGAGGCCUCCCCUCACCUCGUACUAGGAAAUCCCUAUUUUAAUAAAACUUUUCAGUGGAAUAAUUUUUGGUUAAAUUAGACUUAUGAAACAUUAUCCUCUUUUUGAAAAGCUUUCUUUCAAAUCCUGGUGACCUAGAAUCUGAUGGCACUGUGAGCAUGCAAUUGCUGGUCUUGAUCGACAUGCUUAUCAGUUCAUCCUCGACAUAAAGAUGCAGUAGAUGGGAGCGGUUGAUGAAAUUAAAAAAAAAAAAAUCAAAACUAUGCGUGUGAAUUUAGAAGGAAUAAUGUGUCUGGCCGAGUUGCUUAGAUGUAAUUGAUGGUCGAAGCUCACCACCUCUUUGAGAAAUAUUGCUCCCUUCAACUGCUGCUGAGGUAGUCAAACCAUUACAAGUAAGCAAUUCACCACAUGUUACCAGAGCUAUUGGAUCUGACAAAUGCAAUCUUCGAGUUGAGAGGUGUUGAGAAACUUGCUUCAUUGUUGGACGAGAUUGAGGACUGGA
Long non-coding RNA from Rosa rugosa (rugosa rose), 1112 nucleotides. RefSeq lists it as uncharacterized. The transcript has 3 exons. Lineage: Eukaryota; Viridiplantae; Streptophyta; Magnoliopsida; Rosales; Rosaceae. The record is from RefSeq and is a predicted model, not a curated record.